UCGUAGUCCACAAAUGCGAGACACAGA
RNAcentral lists this small RNA (27 nucleotides) under Bombyx mori (domestic silkworm). RNAcentral describes it as "ovarian small RNA-29178". Lineage: Eukaryota; Metazoa; Arthropoda; Insecta; Lepidoptera; Bombycidae. The record is from RNAcentral.